RNAcentral lists this transfer RNA (69 nucleotides) under Urocitellus parryii (Arctic ground squirrel). RNAcentral's name for it is "Spermophilus parryii (Arctic ground squirrel) tRNA". It matches the Rfam family "tRNA". From Rfam's summary of the family: Transfer RNA (tRNA) molecules are approximately 80 nucleotides in length. Their secondary structure includes four short double-helical elements and three loops (D, anti-codon, and T loops). Further hydrogen bonds mediate the characteristic L-shaped molecular structure. tRNAs have two regions of fundamental functional importance: the anti-codon, which is responsible for specific mRNA codon recognition, and the 3' end, to which the tRNAs corresponding amino acid is attached (by aminoacyl-tRNA synthetases). tRNAs cope with the degeneracy of the genetic code in two manners: having more than one tRNA (with a specific anti-codon) for a particular amino acid; and 'wobble' base-pairing, i.e. permitting non-standard base-pairing at the 3rd anti-codon position. The record is from Rfam by way of RNAcentral. RNAcentral also lists the same sequence under 1 other name. Lineage: Eukaryota; Metazoa; Chordata; Mammalia; Rodentia; Sciuridae.
GGGGCCAUGGCUCAGUGGUAGAGUGCUUGCCUAGCAUGCAUGAGGCACUGGGUUCAAUCCUUAGUACCA